ACCUGGCUGGCUCAGUUGGUAGAGCAUGUGACUCUUGAUCUCGGGAUUGUGGGUUCGAGCCCCAUGGUGGGUG
RNAcentral lists this transfer RNA (73 nucleotides) under Felis catus (domestic cat). It matches the Rfam family "tRNA". Rfam says of the family: Transfer RNA (tRNA) molecules are approximately 80 nucleotides in length. Their secondary structure includes four short double-helical elements and three loops (D, anti-codon, and T loops). Lineage: Eukaryota; Metazoa; Chordata; Mammalia; Carnivora; Felidae. The record is from Rfam by way of RNAcentral. RNAcentral also lists the same sequence under 1 other name.